UCCUCCUUCCCUUCUGUGACGUAAUAGACGAGGUUAUAAAUAUGGUGAAUUAUACAUUCGAGUAGCUUCCAAGAUCAA
Molecule: unclassified non-coding RNA, 78 nt
Filed under: Schizosaccharomyces pombe (fission yeast)
Lineage: Eukaryota; Fungi; Ascomycota; Schizosaccharomycetes; Schizosaccharomycetales; Schizosaccharomycetaceae
Description: non-coding RNA (predicted)
Source: RNAcentral